UACGAAGGGGGCUAGCGUUGCUCGGAAUCACUGGGCGUAAAGCGCACGUAGGCGGAUUGCUAAGUCAGGGGUGAAAUCCUGGAGCUCAACUCCAGAACUGCCUUUGAUACUGGCGACCUUGAGUCCGGGAGAGGUGAGUGGAACUGCGAGUGUAGAGGUGAAAUUCGUAGAUAUUGGGAAGAACACCGGUGGCGAAGGCGGCCAUCUGGACCGCAACUGACGCUGAGGCGCGAAAGCCAGGGGAGCGAACGGG
This 253-nucleotide ribosomal RNA is filed under the name uncultured bacterium. Its description in RNAcentral is "partial 16S ribosomal RNA". It matches the Rfam family "Bacterial small subunit ribosomal RNA", at positions 524 to 776 of the family's 1533-position model. The record is from RNAcentral.